Molecule: long non-coding RNA, 221 nt
Organism: Sinocyclocheilus grahami
Lineage: Eukaryota; Metazoa; Chordata; Actinopteri; Cypriniformes; Cyprinidae
Exons: 4
Source: RefSeq, a predicted model, not a curated record
CUGAAAUGUGUCGCGCAUUAUGAAAUAAAUCUGGCCAAUCAUAUUUCUCCCAGCCAUUGGAACAUGUCUGUACUGACAGAUUUUGAGGGUGCCCCUCUUCAGCUAGGAGGAAUUGAUUGCGGGGUAUUCAUGUUGAUGUAUGCACUCCAUGUUACGCUCUCAAAGCCAUUUGAUUUUGCUGCGGUGAGUUUGCAUCAAUUUAUGGUUAUUUGUAAAGCAAA